This is a long non-coding RNA of Mobula hypostoma (lesser devil ray), 3026 nucleotides long. RefSeq lists it as uncharacterized. The record is from RefSeq and is a predicted model, not a curated record. NCBI's taxonomy places the organism in Eukaryota, Metazoa, Chordata, Chondrichthyes, Myliobatiformes, Myliobatidae. The transcript has 3 exons.
CACUAUUGUUUACGACAAGAGUCUGACAAAGGUCUGAUCGGGGCACGACUGCGCAAGCACGUGGACAUCAGCCAGUUAGAACAGCGAGAAGAGUUUAAAAGAGAUGGUUAUUUCUUCAACCAACACACACAAAAAAUGCUGGUGAAUGCAACAUGCCAGGCAGCAUCUAUAGGAAGAGGUUCUUUUAAAGACCCUGACCUGGAGUUACACACUGACUUCGGUUCCAUGUGGGAAUGGGACCCAUUCUCAGGGCCUCAUGACCAUCCGGCUUUUGAUAUCCCAAGGACGCGGCCUGGAAGACAAGUGCGCCUUCAAGAACUGAAUAGAGCCAAAUCCAAGCAACAGGUGUUCAUUAGACGAAAGAAUAUUUCAGGGAGGUAUCAAGAAUGAAAAAUCAAGUGGAAAUUUGACACCAUAAACAAGAAGAAAUUAUCUCUAGAGAUCAGGAACUAAGGGGCACUAAUUUAAAGUAUUUAAUUUAAUUUAAUUUAAUUAAAGCAACCAAAGGUGCAUUAAGGACAUUUUUCCACUGUAAAGUGUAUCAUCCAGAUUGUUCUUGCAUAAUCAGAUAUGGUAAUAAUUUACAAAAUGUGUAAUGCCAUAGAAAAGCCAUCACAAGGCUGGUGUCAAUGAAGAUCUCGGAGGAAAAUUCCUCUCUUUGGAGUCAUGCCAUGAAACACAAAUGAAAAUGAUUUUGGUUGUUAGUGGAUGGGGGUUUAAUCAUUUCAGACCAGGGUCAAUCUCCAUCCAUUCAUCAAUACGUUUCUAGGCCCAAGUAUUUUCAUUUAAGUGAGACUAAUUGUAGAACCCAAUCAAAGACCUGGCACAAGACUGAUGGGCUGAUUGGCUUCUUUGUUGUAUCAUUUAUGUAAAUAUUUAAAUAUUUGGAUAACUAAAACUAAGUGCUGAGUAACUGUGGAAAUAUUACAGAAAUGGAUUAACAAGAGCGUAAAUGCAUUUUUCAUCAUCUUGAAAGCUGCAUCAUAAAUUCACUAACAAAAUGACAGAGUUAACAUUAUAUCUUCAUAAUACUACCAAGUGCAUGCAAAAUUCACAUUUUCAUUAUCUAUUGCUCCUCCCUGAUUUUUUUUUCCCAAUUUUCUAUUUUUUGGUUCAGCAAACUUUUUUUUUCUUUUUUGCAGUAUUUAGCAAAAUCAGUUAAUUUUGGUCAAUGAGAUCUCGCAAUUGUCAGUCUCUGUCAUUUUAUAAAUGUAACUAAUUUGAAAUAGUAAUUCAUGCACAACCGGGAUGCUUACAGCUGAGUCACUAUCCCAGGCUUUCCAUCAAGGCUAAUCGUUUUUGUUUUCAUUUCCUACUUUAUUUAUAGUAUAUUACAAAUCAUUUCAAAAAUGUCGUGGAAGAGUUCUUGCUGCAGGAGCUCUCUCGUGGACCAUCACCUUUGGAAAUCAAUCUGCUGGAUUCAACAUAGGCCCUAAUUUGUAGCAUUGCCCAAACAAUUUUGUGUGUGACAUCUUCCUGUUCCUCAUACUUUUUUGCAUUUGAUAUGCCAUGCUGUGAAAUUCAAGCAGUGACUUUCUGUUUACCACAGAACUAAGAUCUUUAUUUUAUUUACUGAUGAAUUUAGCUUUUUCCAAAUUACUUUUCAGGCAAAGUUUUCAUUUUUUUCAACUGAUCAUAGACAUCUUUGGUUUUUCCAAUUUUUAUCAUUUCUAUUCCAUCACUGAUUAUAGGAUUGGUUAAUUCCUUUAUGAAAGCUAUGUCAGCAUGCUAGAAGGAGAAUGUUGCAUUUAUUGCUGGUAUUAAGUUUUAAAUGAAUAACAGACUACAAUCCUGGAAACAAACACUAGGCCACUGUCUCCUGGAACAUUACAGAUUUCAUCACUUUAGGAGAUCUCCCUUCAACAGCUUCACCUAAUAGAGCGCCAAAACAGUUCCACAAUCAGGAAGGCACAGGUUCACCCAUUGUUUUUGUCUGCUUUCACCUCACCAAACUUAACUCUUUGGUGACUAAGACACUCAUCCAUUUGGUGGAACUAGUUCCUAUCCUUCCAAAUUUCCUUCUACUUCUUUCAUAUCAAAGUUCUAGGCCUCACCAGCAACUUAUACAACUAUAGCAUCCCAACUCCUAUACUCAGGGCUCGAAUCUAUGAAGGCCAAUGUGUCUCCGAAGCCACUUUCAAGGAAUCAUGAAUCUGUAUUCCAAGAUCCCUUUGUUCUCAGUGUCAGUUCUACAAUCGUUUGUCUUGCCAAAGUGCAACAUCUCUCACUUGUCGGCAUUAAAUUCCAUUUUCCAUUUUUCAGCCCUUUUUUCCAGCUGAUCCAGAUCCUGCUGCAAGCUUGGAUGACCUUUCUCGCUGUCCACUACACCCAUUGCGUCACCACAAAUGUGAUCCAGUUUACCACAUUAUCAUCUAAUUCAUUAAUACUGAUAUUAAACAACAACUGACCAAGCACUGAUCCCUCUGGCACACUGCUAGUCACAGGUUUCCAUUUCAGAGAGACUACCAUUGUGUUGCCCUUAAGGCAUUUAUUUAACUUUAUUACAUUUCCGCUUUAAGUAAUUUGUUUGUAACUAUUUUCUAGUUAAAGUUAAAGGUAAAAUUCAUUGACUGUGGUAUAUCGUGGCAUGUUAUGAUGUCACCUCCGGUAUUGUCGCAUCUUGUGGGUAACUUCUGGUUUGGAGAAAGAGGAUAGGUGGGGACCCGCGCGUGCAGCAUGAACGUGAAAAGCUCCGUUUCUAUCCAUAAAGAAACAUUAUAGAAGCAACGCCGUAAGUUCAUGUGACAGUAGACAUGUUGAAGUAAAGAUAUGAACGUGGAUUCUGUUAAAGGAAGCAGCAGAUGGAGCGGCACACGUGCCAGCUUUUCAAUUUCAAACAUGGGGUCGGCUCAAGCCCGGCGGCAGUUUGACAUGACCCUCUCCCUCCCCUGGGUAGCUGAAGGCACUCGCUAAAAGAAAAGAGCACGCAUGGUCUUAAUAAUGAAACAGACACUGUAUAUGUUUGUAUUUUUUUAUCAACAGUUUUCACCAUACAAUGUUAAUGUGGAAGAGUGAACAGUAAAUGG